AGUGAACGCUGGCGGCGUGCUUAACACAUGCAAGUCGAACGAGAACGGAUUAUAGCUUGCUAUAAUUGUCAGCUAAGUGGCGCACGGGUGAGUAAUGUAUAGGUAAUAUGCCUCUUACUAAGGGAUAACAAAUGGAAACGUUUGCUAAUACCUUAUACUCCUUAUUAACCUAAGUUAAUAAGGGAAAGAUUUAUUGGUAAGAGAUUAGCCUGUAUUGUAUCAGUUAGUUGGUGGGGUAAUGGCUUACCAAGACUAUGACACAUAACUGGUUUGAGAGAAUGAUCAGUAACACUGGAACGGAGACACGGUCCAGACUCCUACGGGAGGCAGCAGUGGGGAAUAUUGCACAAUGGACGAAAGGCUGAUGCAGCAACGCCGCGUGGAGGAUGACACAUUUCGGUGCGUAAACUCCUUUUAUAUGAGAAGAUAAUGACGGUAUUAUAUGAAUAAGCACCGGCUAACUCCGUGCCAGCCGCCGCGGUAA
RNAcentral lists this ribosomal RNA (484 nucleotides) under uncultured bacterium. Its description in RNAcentral is "partial 16S ribosomal RNA". It matches the Rfam family "Bacterial small subunit ribosomal RNA", at positions 29 to 523 of the family's 1533-position model. The record is from RNAcentral.